AGAAUGGAAUUAACCACCCUGG
This 22-nucleotide unclassified non-coding RNA is filed under the name Mus musculus (house mouse). Its description in RNAcentral is "oocyte_clustered_small_RNA9807". The record is from RNAcentral. Lineage: Eukaryota; Metazoa; Chordata; Mammalia; Rodentia; Muridae.